AGUGAAUGAACAUAAAAUUCAUAUAAAGAGGCAAGAAUUCACAGAGUAAUUGCCAUGAAAUGUAUGAUUACACACAUCUUUUACAUUAUAAUAACAUUCAAACACAAAAAGACAGCCAUCCCCCAUUCUUCUCCCCACAAAAAGAGUUGUUGUAAGAGAGAUAUUUAAGACCACCAAGGGGCAUCACCAGUCCUGAAGUCAGUUUCAACCCAUGGAACAAACACAACCUUUCCACCAUCAUCAAUAUCCGCAUGAGCCAAGGCAAGCGACUGUGUUUUAUGAAAAUCAAGUUUAGCAUAGAAAAUUUACCUAGAGAUUAGAGAGAAAGACUAAUGUAUUUGACUUACCAAUGGAGCUGGACCUCUAACGACUCUGCCUUGAGCAUUGUACUGGGAUCCAUGGCAAGGACAUAGGAACUUGUUCUCAGCUUUGUUCCAUGGCACAACACAUCCAAGAUGAGUGCACACUGCGUUUAUACCGUAUGUCGCUAGUGUCUUGUCGUUCUCCACAACUAG
RNAcentral lists this long non-coding RNA (515 nucleotides) under Brassica napus (rape). RNAcentral's name for it is "long non-coding RNA (BNAP_LNC000947)". Lineage: Eukaryota; Viridiplantae; Streptophyta; Magnoliopsida; Brassicales; Brassicaceae. The record is from RNAcentral.